GUAAGGAAUAUUGGUCAAUGGGCGGAAGCCUGAACCAGCCAUGCCGCGUGCAGGACGACGGCCCUACGGGUUGUAAACUGCUUUUGCCCGGGAAUAACCCCCCGCUCUUGAGCGGGGCUGAACGUACCGGGAGAAUAAGGAUCGGCUAACUCCGUGCCAGCAGCCGCGGUAAUACGGAGGAUCCAAGCGUUGUCCGGAUUUAUUGGGUUUAAAGGGUGCGUAGGCGGAUCUUUAAGUCAGUGGUGAAAGCCUGCAGCUUAACUGUAGAAUUGCCAUUGAAACUGAAGAUCUUGAAUGUGGUUAAAGUAGGCGGAAUGUAUCAUGUAGCGGUGAAAUGCUUAGAUAUGAUACAGAACACCGAUAGCGAAGGCAGCUUGCUGAACCAUUAUUGACGCUGAGGCACGAAAGCGUGGGGAGCGAACAGGAUUAGAAACCCUGGUAGUCC
Molecule: ribosomal RNA, 445 nt
Filed under: uncultured bacterium
Lineage: Bacteria
Description: partial 16S ribosomal RNA
Rfam family: Bacterial small subunit ribosomal RNA
Source: RNAcentral